Molecule: ribosomal RNA, 322 nt
Filed under: uncultured eukaryote
Lineage: Eukaryota
Description: partial 18S ribosomal RNA
Rfam family: Eukaryotic small subunit ribosomal RNA
Source: RNAcentral
CCCUUAGAUGUUCUGGGCCGCACGCGUGCUACACUGAGUGGAUCAGCGGGUCAGGUUGCGCGAAAGCGUUUCCUAAUCUUUAAAUCCGCUCGUGAUGGGGAUUUACGGUUGCAAUUUUCUGUCAUGAACGAGGAAUACCUUGUAAGCGCGGGUCAUCAUCCCGCGCUGAAUACGUCCCUGCCCUUUGUACACACCGCCCGUCGCUCCUACCGAUUGAGUGGUCCGGUGAGGCUUUGGGAUCUGAGCGGAAAGAGCGUUUCGCUGUUUCUGCUCGGAAAACUCAGUCGAACCUUAUCAUUUAGAGGAAGGAGAAGUCGUAACA